CCGCAGCCCGGCUUGAGUGGAAAUCCUUUUUUGUGGCUGGAAAGGCGGUGGCAAAAAGAUUGGGAACGGAAGACGGAAUAGCU
Molecule: small RNA, 83 nt
Filed under: Epilithonimonas lactis
Lineage: Bacteria; Pseudomonadati; Bacteroidota; Flavobacteriia; Flavobacteriales; Weeksellaceae
Description: Chryseobacterium halperniae Flavo-1 RNA
Source: RNAcentral